This 406-nucleotide ribosomal RNA is filed under the name uncultured bacterium. Its description in RNAcentral is "partial 16S ribosomal RNA". It matches the Rfam family "Bacterial small subunit ribosomal RNA", at positions 30 to 526 of the family's 1533-position model. The record is from RNAcentral.
AUUGAACGCUGGCGGCAGGCCUAACACAUGCAAGUCGAGCGAGCGGCGGACGGGUGAGUAAUGUCUGGGAAACUGCCUGAUGGAGGGGGAUAACUACUGGAAACGGUCGCUAAUACCGCAUACCAUCAGAUGUGCCCAGAUGGGAUUAGCUCGUGGGUGGGGUACUGGCUCACCUAGGCGCCGAUCCCUAGCUGGUCUGAGAGGAUGACCAGCCACACUGGAACUGAGACACGGUCGAGAGUCCUACGGGAGGCAGCAGUGGGGAAUAUUGCACAAUGGGUGCAGGCCUGAUACAGCCAUGCCGCGUGUAUGAGGAAGGCCUUCGGGUUGUAAAGUACUUUCAGCGGGGAGGCGUUACCCGCAGAAGAAGCACCGGCUAACUCCGUGCCAGCAGCCGCGGUAAUAC